This 77-nucleotide transfer RNA is filed under the name Candidatus Hydrogenedentota bacterium. RNAcentral describes it as "Candidatus Hydrogenedentes bacterium tRNA-Pro". It matches the Rfam family "tRNA". Rfam says of the family: Transfer RNA (tRNA) molecules are approximately 80 nucleotides in length. Their secondary structure includes four short double-helical elements and three loops (D, anti-codon, and T loops). The record is from RNAcentral. Lineage: Bacteria; Pseudomonadati; Candidatus Hydrogenedentota.
CGGGGCGUAGCGCAGCCCGGUAGCGCACCUGCUUCGGGAGCAGGGGGUCGGAGGUUCAAAUCCUCUCGCCCCGACGA